UAAGGAAUAUUGGACAAUGGUCGGAAGACUGAUCCAGCCAUGCCGCGUGAAGGACGAAGGCGCUCUGCGUUGUAAACUUCUUUUGUACGGGAACAAAACCGGCCCUGCGGGGUCGUCUGAGGGUACCGUAAGAAUAAGCACCGGCUAACUCCGUGCCAGCAGCCGCGGUAAUACGGAGGGUGCAAGCGUUAUCCGGAAUCACUGGGUUUAAAGGGUGCGUAGGCGGUCUGUUAAGUCAGUUGUGAAAUUCCCUCGCUCAACGAGUGGGACUGCGAUUGAUACUGAUGGACUUGAAUCAGGUUGAGGUAGGCGGAAUGUGACAUGUAGCGGUGAAAUGCUUAGAUAUGUCAUAGAACACCGAUUGCGAAGGCAGCUUGCUGGACCUGUAUUGACGCUGAGGCACGAAAGCGUGGGGAGCAAACAGG
RNAcentral lists this ribosomal RNA (425 nucleotides) under uncultured Saprospiraceae bacterium. RNAcentral describes it as "bacterial SSU rRNA". It matches the Rfam family "Bacterial small subunit ribosomal RNA", at positions 355 to 776 of the family's 1533-position model. The record is from RNAcentral. Lineage: Bacteria; Pseudomonadati; Bacteroidota; Saprospiria; Saprospirales; Saprospiraceae.